GUAGCAUAUUCGACAGUGAGACUAUCUGUUUAAUAAAAAUUUAUAAAUAGGCUGAACAUGAUUUUUUUCAGAGACUUUUGAUGAUCUGACAUUUUCAUUUUUGUUUCAGAUUGAAUUCUCUAGUUAGAGAGCUCCAAGAAUUCUCCAAUAAGACGGUGAUGAUCUUUCUUGAAAUAGAUUCAAAGGAGGCUGAUUGCGCACACCUUGUUCGAUCAUAUUCUGCACAAAGAAGGUGCUUCUGGGUUGAUCACAUUGAGGCUUGACAUCCUUGAAGUGAUGGAGGUUGCUUUGAGUAAUUCAUCUUUGAGUAGGAGUUCUUCUUUGAGCAUGAUUUCUUCCUUCACUCUUUCUCUCCUCUCAAUCUCUUCUUUCUCUUUCUUUUGUUUCUCCUCCCUUUCUCUUCUCUCAUUUUCUUCUUUCUCUUUCUUUUCUCUUUCCUCCCUUUCUCUUCUCUCAUUUUCUUCUUUUUCUUUCUUUUCUAUCUCCUCCCUUUCUCUUCUAGCUUCCUCCUCUCUAACUUUUUUCUCUAAUUGUAUUUGUUCCUCUUUCUUCCUUUCCAUUUAUCUUAUUUCCUUAUCCCUCAAGAGCU
This 589-nucleotide long non-coding RNA is filed under the name Vigna radiata. RNAcentral's name for it is "long non-coding RNA (VRAD_LNC000471)". The record is from RNAcentral. Lineage: Eukaryota; Viridiplantae; Streptophyta; Magnoliopsida; Fabales; Fabaceae.